Molecule: long non-coding RNA, 1315 nt
Filed under: Salmo salar (Atlantic salmon)
Lineage: Eukaryota; Metazoa; Chordata; Actinopteri; Salmoniformes; Salmonidae
Description: lncRNA (ENSSSAG00000121514.1)
Source: RNAcentral
UAGUAAGUGUUCAAAAUCCCCUUUUAUUGGUUGUUGGCAUCCAGGUGAACCAAUGGCACAAGAGUAAGAUUUAAUCACCAAAAAAAUAAAACAGAGAGUUCCAGUUUCACAAAGUAAAAAAAAAUAAAAAAAAGUGGAUUUUUUAUUUUAUUUAUAUAGUUACAUUUAGUAAAUUACCCAGAAACACUUGAGUCAUACACAGGCAUUACCAAGAACUACAGUGAGGUACUCUAACCUCUCACCUGUGUGAACCAACAGUCAACACACACAUAUCCAUCCACUAACACCACAUCAUUGACCUCUUGGACUAGAUCACAGUGGAUCACAUUUACAUGAUAAUGGAGGAGAUGAAGCACCAGAUUCCAGUUGUGGAGGAGGAGUGAAACCAGGAAGUGAGAUGGUUUUUAUAUCAAUGACCAACAGAUCGUUCUCCAUGAUAAUGGCUGUGCCUUUAGAGAGGGAAAUUAAAAGAAAUUCUUCCAGUCAGAGAGAGGUUAACGUCCGACCGGGAUCGGGGAUCCCGUCAGAGAGGUUAACGUCCGACCGGGAUCGGGGAUCCCGUCAGAGAGGUUAACGUCCGACCGGGAUCGGGGAUCCAGUCAGAGAGGUUAACGUCCGACCGGGAUCGGGGAUCCAGUCAGAGAGGUUAACGUCCCACCAGAUCAGAGCUCUGGACAGCUGUAAGGACACACACUUCCUUCAUGAAAACAACAUUUAACAGGUUAUUUCCUGUCUGGGAGAUCAAAAUCUCCACCAAUGAGCUCACAGCUAGAGGAAGACAUAAUUUCCUCUAGGUUAACAUUGUAAAUUUCCUGUGAUUCAAUAUGAGAUGAGGGACUAAAACCCAUUCCAGAAUCCGCUUCCAGUUUUUACACAACGCUCAGAGACCAGCGGGUCUCUACUUCCAGACAGGCCCGGAUUCAAUACCAUCACUGCUUUUUUUAGACAAUGCGCCAUUUAAAAAAUACAAAUAAAAUGGCGCAUUGUCCAAAAAUCUCCAACCAAUGAGCUCACAGCUAGAUGAUGACAUCAUUUCCUUUAGGUUACACAUUGGAACAUUUUACAUUUCCUGUGAUUCAAUAUUAUGAGAUGAGGGAGUAAAACCCCAUUCCAGAAUCCACUUCCAGUUUUUCCACGGCGCUCAGAGUCCAGCGGGUCUCUACUUCCAGACAGAACCGAUUCUGUAUCAUCACUGCUUUUAUUUCUUCUUCUAAAAGGGUCAUUUCAAAAUAAGCCGACAUAUGCAGCGUUUACCGUAAACAUUGCAUUGUGGGAUUGAAUCCUGGCCAACAAAAUCAGGUCAUGGAUGAUAAAU